Small nuclear RNA from Monodelphis domestica (gray short-tailed opossum), 101 nucleotides. The record is from Ensembl. Lineage: Eukaryota; Metazoa; Chordata; Mammalia; Didelphimorphia; Didelphidae.
GUGCUCCCUUGGGCAGUGCAUACAUUACAAUUAGAACACUACCGAGAAGAUUAGCAUCAUGCAAGGGAGACAAGUAAAUUCGUGAAGUAUUUCAUAUUUUU